GAUGAACGCUGGCGGCGUGCCUAAUACAUGCAAGUCGAGCGAACAGACGAGGAGCUUGCUCCUCUGACGUUAGCGGCGGACGGGUGAGUAACACGUGGAUAACCUACCUAUAAGACUGGGAUAACUUCGGGAAACCGGAGCUAAUACCGGAUAAUAUAUUGAACCGCAUGGUUCAAUAGUGAAAGACGGUUUUGCUGUCACUUUUAGAUGGAUCCGCGCCGCAUUAGCUAGUUGGUAAGGUAACGGCUUACCAAGGCAACGAUGCGUAGCCGACCUGAGAGGGUGAUCGGCCACACUGGAACUGAGACACGGUCCAGACUCCUACGGGAGGCAGCAGUAGGGAAUCUUCCGCAAGGGGCGAAAGCCUGACGGAGCAACGCCGCGUGAGUGAUGAAGGUCUUCGGAUCGUAAAACUCUGUUAUUAGGGAAGAACAAAUGUGUAAGUAACUAUGCACGUCUUGACGGUACCUAAUCAGAAAGCCACGGCUAACUACG
Molecule: ribosomal RNA, 495 nt
Filed under: uncultured bacterium
Lineage: Bacteria
Description: partial 16S ribosomal RNA
Rfam family: Bacterial small subunit ribosomal RNA
Source: RNAcentral